GAUGAAGAACGUAUCGAAAUGCGAUAAGUAAUGUGAAUUGCAGAAUUCAGUGAAUCAUCGAAUCUUUGAACGCACAUUGCGCCCAUUAGUAUUCUAGUGGGCAUGCCUGUUCGAGCGUCAUUUCAACCCUUAAGCCUAGCUUAGUAUUGGGAAUCGACUUUACUGUCGUUCCUCAAAUUCAACGGCGGAUUUAUAGCAAUCUCUGAACGUAGUAAUUUUUUUUCUCGUUUUUGAAAUACUAUAAACCUCAGCCGCUAAACCCCCAAUUUCUUAUGGUUGACCUCGGAUCAGGUAGGAAUACCCGCUGAACUUAAGCAUAUCAAUAAGCGGGGA
This 333-nucleotide unclassified non-coding RNA is filed under the name soil metagenome. Its description in RNAcentral is "partial contains 5.8S ribosomal RNA, internal transcribed spacer 2, and large subunit ribosomal RNA". The stretch from base 1 to 120 matches the Rfam family "5.8S ribosomal RNA", at positions 35 to 154 of the family's 154-position model. The record is from RNAcentral.